RNAcentral lists this ribosomal RNA (486 nucleotides) under uncultured bacterium. RNAcentral describes it as "bacterial SSU rRNA". It matches the Rfam family "Bacterial small subunit ribosomal RNA", at positions 28 to 524 of the family's 1533-position model. The record is from RNAcentral.
GACGAACGCUGGCGGCGUGCUUAACACAUGCAAGUCAGGGGGUGGGGCAACCCAUCACCGGCGAACGGGUGCGUAACACGUGAGCGACCUGCCCUGGUGUGGGGGAUAGCCGGCCCAACGGCCGGGUAAUACCGCAUACGACACGGCCCGGGCAUCCGGGGCGUGUGAAGCCUUUUGGGUACUAGGAGGGGCUCGCGGCCUAUCAGCUAGUUGGCGAGGUAACGGCUCACCAAGGCGAUGACGGGUAGCUGGUCUGAGAGGAUGGCCAGCCACAUUGGGACUGAGAGACGGCCCAGACUCCUACGGGAGGCAGCAGUGGGGAAUCUUGCGCAAUGGCCGAAAGGCUGACGCAGCGACGCCGCGUGGGGGAUGAAGGUCUUUGGAUUGUAAACCCCUGUUGCCCGGGACGAAUGCCGCCUUUAGAGGCGGGUGACGGUACCGGGUGAGGGAAGCACCGGCUAACUCUGUGCCAGCAGCCGCCGUAAU